Molecule: ribosomal RNA, 1645 nt
Filed under: Rhodochorton purpureum
Lineage: Eukaryota; Rhodophyta; Florideophyceae; Acrochaetiales; Acrochaetiaceae
Description: bacterial LSU rRNA
Rfam family: Bacterial large subunit ribosomal RNA
Source: RNAcentral
GGUGAAAGGCCAAUCAAACUUGGCGAUAGCCGGUUUUUCACGAAACGUAUUUAAGUACUACGUUACCAAAAUAAGUUGUAGGUAUAGUAACAAAUUAAACAAUGGGGUGUAAAAAUUUACUGAGUUCAGUUUAACUUCAAAUUACAACUUAAUUACGGUAAUAGACAGUCUUUGGGCGAUAAGGUUCAAAGACAAAAGGGCAACAACCCAGACCGCACAUUAAGAUCUCUAAAUUAUAACUUAGUGGAGAAGGUUUUUGUUAGUUCAAAUAAAUAAGAGUAGGCUUAGAAGCAGCCUUCUAUUGGAGAAAGCGUUUUAGCUCACUAUUUUUUAGCAAAAACCUAAAAUAAUCGAGGCUACAAGUUAUAUAUCGAAAUGGCGGAUUAAUAUUUUAAUGGUAGUGAAACGUUCUGUAAUUUAUUUUUAGUAAUGUAAAAUCUAAAGUAUAUGACCAGAAGUGCUAAUGCUGACAUGAGUAACGAAAACUACGUUGUAAUCGUAGUCACCUAUUGUUCAAGGUUUUCAACGUAAUUUUAGAUGCGUUGAGUUAGUCGGUCCUUAAGAAAAAAGUAAAAACUUUAAAUUAAUAGGAAUUUACCAGUUACGUACAUUUUAUAAAUGUGUACAGAUAACAAAAAAAUAGUUAAAUUAAAAGGUUAAAAUUCUAAACUUUUUGUAUUCUCAGGAAAAAUCGUAACACUAUUGACCGUACCUAAACCGACACAGGAGAACUUGUUGAAAAUACAAAGGUGAAUGGGGCAAUUAAAUUAAAGGAACUCGGCAAAUUUGCUCUGUACGUUCGCAAUAAAGAGUACCGUUGAAACACGGUGUCACAAAAUAGAAAGCAACGACUGGUUAUCAAAACCACAGGACUCUGCUAAUUAGUAAAUAAGAUGUAUAGAGUUUGACACCUGCCCAGUGCCUGAAGGUGAUAAAUUUAGGUUAAAGCUUAAAUUAUAAUCCCAGGUAAACGGCGGUUCUAACUAUAAGAAUCCUUAGGUAGCGAAAUUCCUUGACGGGUAAGUUCCGUCCCGCAUGAAUGGUGUCACGAUUGCUUUACUGUCUCCAAUUUAAACCCAGUGAAAUUACAUAGCCUAUGAAAAUGUAGGCAACCCGCAGUAAGACGGAAAGACCCUAGAUCCUUUACUUUAGUUUUAUAUUGUAAAAAUAACUAUUUCAUGCAGAGCAAGUGGAAGUAAUAAAAUACAACAAUGAAACACCACUUUUAAUAUAUAAUUUUUACUUGAUUUAUUAUUAUAAUAAAGAUAGUAUAAAAUAGCAAGUUUACUUGGGACGAGUACCUCCUAAAAUGUAACGGAGGUGUACAAAGAUAAGUUUCAACUAUUCAAAAAAAUAGUCAAGCGUAUAAUGGCAAUAAACUUGUUUGACAGUUAGAUUGAUAAAUCGCGCUGAGACGCAAGUCGGUCAUAGUGAUCCGGUAGUAUUGUGUGGAAAAUUUACCGCUCAACAAAUAAAAGGAACUCUAGGGAUAACAGAUUCAUCAUGGCCGAGAGUCCUUAUUGACGCCAUGGUUUGAUACCUCGAUGUCGACUCAUCUUAUCCUGGAAUUGAAGCAGAUUCCAAGGGUCUAGUUGUUCGCUAGUGAAGAAGGUACGUGAGUUGGGUUCAGAACGUCGUGAGACAG